Molecule: ribosomal RNA, 465 nt
Filed under: uncultured bacterium
Lineage: Bacteria
Description: partial 16S ribosomal RNA
Rfam family: Bacterial small subunit ribosomal RNA
Source: RNAcentral
GACGAACGCUGGCGGCGUGCUUAACACAUGCAAGUCGAACGGAAAGGCCCUGCUUGCAGGGUACUCGAGUGGCGAACGGGUGAGUAACACGUGGGUGAUCUGCCCGGCACUUCGGGAUAAGCCUGGGAAACGGGGUCUAAUACCGGAUAGGAGCCAGUUUGAGUGGGAUGGUUGGGAAGUUUUUUCGGUGUAGGAUGAGCUCGGGGCCUAUCGGCUUGUUGGUGGGGUAAUGGCCUACCAAGGCGGCGACGGGUAGCCGGCCUGAGAGGGUGGACGGCCACAUUGGGACUGAGAUACGGCCCAGACUCCUACGGGAGGCAGCAGUGGGGAAUAUUGCACAAUGGGCGCAAGCCUGAUGCAGCGACGCCGCGUGGGGGAUGACGGCCUUCGGGUUGUAAACUCCUUUCGCUAGGGACGAAGCUUUUUGUGACGGUACCUAGAUAAGAAGCACCGGCUAACUACGUG